UACGAAGGGGGCUAGCGUUGUUCGGAAUUACUGGGCGUAAAGCGCGCGUAGGCGGUUUUCCAAGUCGGGCGUGAAAGCCCCGGGCUCAACCCGGGAAAUGCGCUCGAAACUUGAAGACUGGAGGCCGGAAGAGGGUAGUGGAAUUCCCAGUGUAGAGGUGAAAUUCGUAGAUAUUCGCAAGAACACCAGUGGCGAAGGCGGCUCACUGGCCCGAUACUGACGCUGAGGCACGAAAGCGUGGGGAGCAAACAGG
RNAcentral lists this ribosomal RNA (253 nucleotides) under uncultured bacterium. RNAcentral's name for it is "partial 16S ribosomal RNA". It matches the Rfam family "Bacterial small subunit ribosomal RNA", at positions 524 to 776 of the family's 1533-position model. The record is from RNAcentral.